Molecule: long non-coding RNA, 443 nt
Organism: Lolium rigidum
Lineage: Eukaryota; Viridiplantae; Streptophyta; Magnoliopsida; Poales; Poaceae
Exons: 5
Source: RefSeq, a predicted model, not a curated record
CUUUGGCAUGACAACAUUUGGGUUGCUAUUCCAAAGGAUCUCGUGAGGACUGAUCUCUGCCCUGCGGAGGCUGUAGUAUUUGUUCUGAGUGGUUACAGCAAUGGGCGGUUUUAUGGAGCAAGAAGUAUCGGUUGAUAUUCCAGGGGUGGUGGAGCGUUCAAAGAAGAUUGUCUCUAGAUUGAAAAGACCCCGCAAACAACGAGCCUUGAUCUACUAUUUGUCAACGCUUUCUCAUCGUUAGCAACUUGUGGUUUAUGCUUGGAUCUGAGAAAAUAGAUACCAAGGGACUGGCAAGAUUAUAUACAUGAACUGGGUGUAGCCAUGGCAAAUUGUGAGUGAGGAGGUUUAUCUUCAUGGAAGCCCGGGAUACAUAUAGAUCAGCGCAUUAUUGAUACAUAAUUCGGUUCACUGAACUGAGGUCCAGCAAGUCGCACCUCCUCCAG